This 77-nucleotide transfer RNA is filed under the name Chloroflexota bacterium. RNAcentral's name for it is "Chloroflexi bacterium tRNA-Pro". It matches the Rfam family "tRNA". From Rfam's summary of the family: Transfer RNA (tRNA) molecules are approximately 80 nucleotides in length. Their secondary structure includes four short double-helical elements and three loops (D, anti-codon, and T loops). Further hydrogen bonds mediate the characteristic L-shaped molecular structure. tRNAs have two regions of fundamental functional importance: the anti-codon, which is responsible for specific mRNA codon recognition, and the 3' end, to which the tRNAs corresponding amino acid is attached (by aminoacyl-tRNA synthetases). tRNAs cope with the degeneracy of the genetic code in two manners: having more than one tRNA (with a specific anti-codon) for a particular amino acid; and 'wobble' base-pairing, i.e. permitting non-standard base-pairing at the 3rd anti-codon position. The record is from RNAcentral. Lineage: Bacteria; Bacillati; Chloroflexota.
CGGAGCGUGGCGCAGUUUGGUAGCGCACUUGACUGGGGGUCAAGAGGUCGCCGGUUCAAAUCCGGCCGCCCCGACCA